RNAcentral lists this ribosomal RNA (494 nucleotides) under uncultured bacterium. RNAcentral describes it as "partial 16S ribosomal RNA". It matches the Rfam family "Bacterial small subunit ribosomal RNA", at positions 28 to 523 of the family's 1533-position model. The record is from RNAcentral.
GAUGAACGCUGGCGGCGUGCUUAACACAUGCAAGUCGAACGGGAAUUACUUUAUUGAAACUUCGGUCGAUCUAAUUUAAUUCUAGUGGCGGACGGGUGAGUAACGCGUGGGUAACCUGCCUUGUACAGGGGGAUAACAGUCAGAAAUGACUGCUAAUACCGCAUAAGCGCACAGAGCUGCAUGGCUCGGUGUGAAAAACUCCGGUGGUAUAAGAUGGACCCGCGUUGGAUUAGCUAGUUGGUGAGGUAACGGCCAACCAAGGCGACGAUCCAUAGCCGGCCUGAGAGGGUGAACGGCCACAUUGGGACUGAGACACGGCCCAGACUCCUACGGGAGGCAGCAGUGGGGAAUAUUGCACAAUGGGGGAAACCUUGAUGCAGCGACGCCGCGUGAAGGAAGAAGUAUCUCGGUAUGUAAACUUCUAUCAGCAGGGAAGAGAUUGACGGUACCUGACUAAGAAGCCCCGGCUAACUACGUGCCAGCCGCCGCAGUAA